CUGGUUGAUCCUGCCAGAGGUUACUGCUAUCGAGGUUCGACUAAGCCAUGCGAGUCGAAUGUAGCAAUACAUGGCGUACUGCUCAGUAACACGUGGACAACCUGCCCUUAGGUCGGGUAUAAACCCGGGAAACUGGGUAUAAUCCCCGAUAGGUCUCGGCUGCUGGAAUGCAUCGAGAUUUAAAGCUCCGGCGCCUAAGGAUGGGUCUGCGGCCUAUCAGGUAGUAGUGGGUGUAGCGUACCUACUAGCCUACGACGGGUACGGGUUGUGAGAGCAAGAGCCCGGAGAUGGAUUCUGAGACACGAAUCCAGGCCCUACGGGGUGCAGCAGGCGCGAAAACUUUACAAUGCUGGCAACAGCGAUAAGGGAACCUCGAGUGCCAGGUUACAAAUCUGGCUGUCGAGAUGCCUAAAAAGCAUUUCAUAGCAAGGGCCGGGCAAGACCGGUGCCAGCCGCCGCGGUAACACCGGCGGCUCGAGUGGUAACCGUUAUUAUUGGGUCUAAAGGGUCUGUAGCCGGCCGGAUAAGUCUCUUGAGAAAUCUGGCAGCUUAACUGUCAGGCUUUCAGGAGAUACUGUCUGGCUCGAGGCCGGGAGAGGUGAGAGGUACUUCAGGGGUAGGGGUGAAAUCUUGUAAUCCUUGAAGGACCACCAGUGGCGAAGGCGUCUCACCAGAACGGACCUGACGGCAAGGGACGAAAGCUAGGGGCACGAACCGGAUUAGAUACCCGGGUAGUCCUAGCCGUAAACGAUACUCGCUAGGUGUCGGCCACGGUGCGACCGUUGUCGGUGCCGUAGGGAAGCCGUGAAGCGAGCCACCUGGGAAGUACGGCCGCAAGGCUGAAACUUAAAGGAAUUGGCGGGGGAGCACCAC
Molecule: ribosomal RNA, 873 nt
Filed under: uncultured archaeon
Lineage: Archaea
Description: bacterial SSU rRNA
Rfam family: Archaeal small subunit ribosomal RNA
Source: RNAcentral